Hypanus sabinus (Atlantic stingray) is the source of this 508-nucleotide long non-coding RNA. RefSeq lists it as uncharacterized. The transcript has 3 exons. NCBI's taxonomy places the organism in Eukaryota, Metazoa, Chordata, Chondrichthyes, Myliobatiformes, Dasyatidae. The record is from RefSeq and is a predicted model, not a curated record.
AAGAAUCGUUAGGCCGGGGUAGCCCAGCAAGAUCAAAGAAACCAACAAAGUCUCAGCUUGUCUCAUCACGUCUGGUCCGGACAAAGAUAUUGACAUUUCCUCUUCCAUGCGUUUGAGAACAAAGAAAUGCAACAGGAUCAAGGACAGACUAUCAAUGUGAGAAAGAAAGAAAGAAUAUGGCCUUCAAUUAUCUGUCACCUUGUUGUGUUCACAGUCAGUACAAAGGAACACAAUGGAAUCAAUUAAAAAUUGUGCACAAAGAAAGACAGGCAAAUAACCAAUGUGCAAAAGACAGCAAAUUGUGCAAAUACAAAAAAACCCAUAAUAAUAAUAAUAAUAAAUAAAUAAUAGAUAUUGAAAGCAUGAUUUGUAGAGCCCUUGAAAAUGAGUCUAUAGUUUGUGGAUUCAGUUCAGUAUUGAGGUGAGUGAAGUUAUCCACUCUGAGUUGGGAGCCUGAUUGUUGAGGGGUACUAAAUGUUCCUGAAUCUGGUGAUGAGAGACCGAAGGU